RNAcentral lists this ribosomal RNA (465 nucleotides) under uncultured bacterium. RNAcentral describes it as "partial 16S ribosomal RNA". It matches the Rfam family "Bacterial small subunit ribosomal RNA", at positions 338 to 795 of the family's 1533-position model. The record is from RNAcentral.
CCUACGGGAGGCUGCAGUAGGGAAUCUUCCACAAUGGGCGAAAGCCUGAUGGAGCAACGCCGCGUGGGUGAAGAAGGUCUUCGGAUCGUAAAACCCUGUUGUUAGAGAAGAAAGUGCGUGAGAGUAACUGUUCACGUUUCGACGGUAUCUAACCAGAAAGCCACGGCUAACUACGUGCCAGCAGCCGCGGUAAUACGUAGGUGGCAAGCGUUAUCCGGAUUUAUUGGGCGUAAGGGGAACGCAGGCGGUCUUUUAAGUCUGAUGUGAAAGCCUUCGGCUUAACCGGAGUAGUGCAUUGGAAACUGGGAGACGUGAGUGCAGAAGAGGAGAGUGGAACGCCAUGUGUAGCGGUGAAAUGCGUAGAUAUAUGGAAGAACACCAGUGGCGAAAGCGGCUCUCUGGUCUGUAACUGACGCUGAGGUUCGAAAGCGUGGGUAGCAAACAGGAUUAGAUACCCCGGUAGUC